Molecule: non-coding RNA, 94 nt
Organism: Paramuricea clavata
Lineage: Eukaryota; Metazoa; Cnidaria; Anthozoa; Malacalcyonacea; Plexauridae
Source: the annotation of a GenBank genome assembly
GACUGCAUAGCUCAGUUGGCAGAGCAUUGGGCUAGUAUUCCAAAGCAUUGGGCUAGUAUUCCAAAGGUCGUAGGUUUGAUUCCUACUGUGGCCA